Molecule: ribosomal RNA, 171 nt
Filed under: Symbiodinium sp. clade D
Lineage: Eukaryota; Dinophyceae; Suessiales; Symbiodiniaceae
Description: Durusdinium sp. clade D partial 23S ribosomal RNA
Source: RNAcentral
UCAGUACAAAUAAUAUGCUGUUGUCUAUAUGUAGCUAAAGGACAAAAAGACCCUUUGAAGCUUAAUAGAGAUAGUUUUUGGAUAUUAUGUGCACAAAUAUAGCUUAUCUUGUAAUUGCAAGAGUAAAAAGCACAUGGCUUGAUCAAGACUACUGUUUAAUUGGGGCGAUAA